RNAcentral lists this long non-coding RNA (1503 nucleotides) under Homo sapiens (human). RNAcentral describes it as "long intergenic non-protein coding RNA 658". The record is from RNAcentral. Lineage: Eukaryota; Metazoa; Chordata; Mammalia; Primates; Hominidae.
ACUGACAUCUGACUGCAACAUCAUGAGAGACCCUGAGUUUGAACCACCCAGCUGAGCUGCUUCUGAGCUAACCCACUGAAACCAGUCUUGCUCUGUCACCCAGGCUAGAGUGCAAUGGCAUAAUCUCAGCUCACUGCAACAUCUGCCUCCCAGGUUCAAGCAAUUCUCCUGCCUCAGCCUCCCAAGAAGGUGAAAGUACCUGAAUGAAACAACACCCAGUAGCCACUAGCACACCUAGCUCCCAGAUCUGUUUUUGAUGCCAUUCUUCAGUAAAAGGAAGCAAGGCUGCUUGGAGAAAUUGCUAUCAAGGACUGGGGUAGAAAAUAUACAAGAUGAAAUUGGAGCAUCUUGUAGUGCUUGAAAACAGUUGGCAUCUGUGUGAAGAUGUGAAUGGAGGAGGCAGAGUAGGCAGUGAGUGCCGCAGCCACAGCUUGUGUUCUCUGCAGCCCUGGCACAGAAGAUAGGAACACUCAUGGGGGAUGCGGCCACUGUGAUGUCUUCCCACACAAGAAGUGCCAAGUGCUUUUCUCAUGCUUUUCUGGAUUGUCCCAUGGUGGACGAGUCAGCAGGAGUGAGAUGGAGCAGCACAGUAGAGGGGCCAGGAUAUCGUUGUACAUAUUCUCAGCUAAGUGAGCACCAAUAGAGGAGAGGGAGAGUCUCAUGGAAGUUCCUUCUAAGCCUUUGGCUCUUUUUACCUUCAACAAGGUGUGCCACCUCUUUGAUCCAGCAAGUGGGAAGAACAGUCCCGGCCUCUUUGCACACAAGACCGUGAUACCAAUGCACCAUCACAGGCCCCACAGGGGAGCUGUCCGCUUCCCCACACAGCUGCUAGGGGCUCUUUUGCAUGUUCCCAACCUUUCCUGCCUUUAUCUGAUAUUCGUUCCUUAGAUCCUGGGAUGAGGAGGUGGACCAGCAGAAGGUGGGCUUGUGAAGGCAGCCCGGGGUCCAAAUCCUCCUGGCUCUUCAGCUUAGCGGGUUAGUUAACAUUCAGAAGCCUUCAUCUCCCAUCUGCAAAAUGGGCAUGUCCAACUCAGAAGCUGCCUUGAAGAAAGGGUCUACCCAGCAUGGUGCGUGGAGCCUAAGCAGUCAGUACUUCAGGACUUCACCCGGCCCCUUUCCAAUAACUGCUGCUGUCGCCCUCACAGGAUGUCACCUUCAGCGUCUGAAAGCUGGGUUUGAUGCGUCUGGAAAGGCGUCCCUGACAGGCGUCGUUGCCAGGAGCCCCUAGUGCCACCAGCAGCCAGCAGGGGAGGGCGUCCUCUGCCCGCUCACUUCUGACCCUUCUCUCGUUGCACCCGGAACAUGGUGCAGCUGGGAGCAGCCUGGGCUGCGCGGAAGGCUCAGAUUUGGGGACGGCCCUUGCCAGUGACUGUGAGCUGGGGUGUCUUGGAAACUCCCAGUCUCAGCUUCUCCAUUUAUAAGAUGAGAAUGAUCAUACCAGACUCAGGCAAGGUUGUUUGUGCAUUAGUGAAAUCAGACGUAUUAAAUAAAGUACCACAUUGA